RNAcentral lists this ribosomal RNA (458 nucleotides) under uncultured bacterium. RNAcentral's name for it is "partial 16S ribosomal RNA". It matches the Rfam family "Bacterial small subunit ribosomal RNA", at positions 29 to 507 of the family's 1533-position model. The record is from RNAcentral.
AACGAACGCUGGCGGCAUGCCUAACACAUGCAAGUCGAACGAUCCCUUCGGGGAUACUUGCUCACGGGUGCGUAACGCGUGGGAACCUGCCCUUAGGUUCGGAAUAACUCAGUGAAAUUUGGGCUAAUACCGGAUAAUGUCUUCUGACCAAAGAUUUAUCGCCUUUGGAUAGGCCCGCGUUGGUUUAGCUUGUUGGUGUGGUAAAAGCCUACCAAGGCUACGAUCCUUAGCUGGGCUGAGAGGAUGAUCAGCCACACUGGGACAGAGACACGUUCCAGACACCUGCAGUGAGCAGCAGUGGGGAAUAUUGGACGAGGGGGGAGAGCCUGAUACAGCCAUACCGCGUGGAUGAAGAAGGACUUCGGGUUGGUGAGCCCUUAUGUUGUUAGAGAAGAGCAGCAGGUUAAUACGCCAUUAUUAUGACGGUACCCAGAGAAUAAGCACCGGCUAACUUCGUG